This 434-nucleotide ribosomal RNA is filed under the name uncultured Ruminococcus sp. RNAcentral describes it as "partial 16S ribosomal RNA". It matches the Rfam family "Bacterial small subunit ribosomal RNA", at positions 341 to 792 of the family's 1533-position model. The record is from RNAcentral. Lineage: Bacteria; Bacillati; Bacillota; Clostridia; Eubacteriales; Oscillospiraceae.
ACGGGAGGCAGCAGUGGGGAAUAUUGCACAAUGGGCGCAAGCCUGAUGCAGCGAUGCCGCGUGAGGGAAGAAGGUUUUCGGAUUGUAAACCUCUGUCAACAGGGACGAUAAUGACUGUACCUGUGAAGGAAGCUCCGGCUAACUACGUGCCAGCAGCCGCGGUAAUACGUAGGGAGCAAGCGUUAUCCGGAAUUACUGGGUGUAAAGGGAGUGUAGGCGGGACUGUAAGUCAGAUGUGAAAUAUGCCGGCUCAACUGGCAGACUGCAUUUGAAACUGCGGUUCUUGAGUGAAGUAGAGGUAAGCGGAAUUCCUAGUGUAGCGGUGAAAUGCGUAGAUAUUACAUAGAACACCGAUCGCGAAGGCGGCUUACUGGACGACAACUGACGCUGAGGCUCGAAAGCGUGGGGAGCAAACAGGAUUAGAUACCCUGGUA